Long non-coding RNA from Pseudophryne corroboree (corroboree frog), 426 nucleotides. RefSeq lists it as uncharacterized. Lineage: Eukaryota; Metazoa; Chordata; Amphibia; Anura; Myobatrachidae. The transcript has 2 exons. The record is from RefSeq and is a predicted model, not a curated record.
CGCGUGACCAGAAGUGUUGCGGCCGAAUAGGAACUAACGGCCGUGUCACUAAGCAACAGAGGAAAAGAGCAGGGGAUUCUUCUAGCAAAAAGGUCCAAUGAUAUCAUCCGACUGAACUAUGUGCCAGUGCUUCAAAACUGUUUCACGAAUGUGCUUAGAGGAAAUCAAAUAUGUGGCUGAAGACACCAAUCUAUUCAUAUCGCAAUCGCAUCACCAUUAGCCUGCUGGGUGGCCCUGUACUGUGCGGCACCCAGUAUGAGAUUCUAGCCACUCUAUGAAAACUGCUAAAUUAAGCAAUUAAGAAACAGAACUUACUACCCAAGGACAAUUAUUUUGUUAUAUACUGUAGUGAAUGAAAAUCCCAUGUAAAAUCUCCUUUUAGAUAUACUUUGAUAUGGAUGAAAUAUUAUAUACUGUACUUUCUCA